UGUCGUGGCCUAAUGGUCUGAGAGUCGGACUUGUAACCUGAAAGUGAACCCGAAGGUCAUGGGUUCGAGUCUCAGGCCGGCAG
Pangasius djambal is the source of this 83-nucleotide non-coding RNA. Lineage: Eukaryota; Metazoa; Chordata; Actinopteri; Siluriformes; Pangasiidae. The record is from the annotation of a GenBank genome assembly.